UUUUGAUGGAUGGUUUCGAAUUCCGUAUGUGCCGCAGUGAGAUCGUCUAUAAGCUGAUUAACAUCCAGUUCUUGAGAGCCUUCGUUAGCCAUAGGAGGUGGGAUUGGAUUGAAAGCACCAAUGUAAAGAAAGAGAGAUCGAGAAUUCCGACGAUAGCCGGAGAGUCGCCAAACAACAAAUUAAAGAAAGAAAGUGAUUACAAUAAAACUUGUUAUCCUUCUACUGAACUUCAUAUAACGUAUUUAUAGGGUUGCCAUGUUCUAGUCUUAGACCUCACAGACGACUAUGGGCCGCUAAUCCAGAUCUAUGUUAUUAGUGGUGAUAUAAUUACUAAAUUACGAGCCAUUAAUUUUCAAUUAUGGAAUUAGUGGAGGUGGAGGGCUUACCAAUAAUAAACGAAAACUAAAAGAGGAAUAUUGGAAAAAUGUAGGGAUCUUUAAGCAAAAUACAAAAAAACAAGAAAUGUUGUAGAUCUUUGAAUAUAUAAGGGUUAAUCAGAAAUUUCCCAUAGUUAAUGAGGAAUCCUUGGUAGGCUUGAGGUAGUAACAAGGAUCGUAAAUGAAGAAAUAUCCAUGAUUCCGAUAAUAGAUAUUAAUUCUUUCAGCUGUGUUGAUAAAUGGAAAUCCAAAGGUAAUAAAGAAGAGGAAACAACGUCAAGAAGAGACGAAUGUGUGGAAAGAGAGAGAGAGAGAGAGUUCUCCAUAUGAUACCUCGAAGGUAAAAGAAACAAUCCAUGUCAAGGACUCUGAGUUUUGUCACAGAAGCUGUUUGAGCUACUAGGAUUUUAUUUUGCCCUAAUUUUGCUUUAAUAAUGGGUUUCAAUUUUGCCCUAAUUUUGCUCAAAUAUCGGGUUUUGAUUUUGCCAUAAUUUUUCAUUUUGGGUCUAGGUUCCUGUAAAUACGACUUUUAUCGACAUUUUCCCAAAAUCCACACUAUUAUUAUUACUCAUUCUAUUAAUUUGAUCGGACAUUAAGACAGUUUAAGCACUUCAGAUUGUAAUCUAUGAAAGAGAAUUUUUCAUAAGUGGCUAAACUGAAAAAACCAAGCAAAGUUAAAGGAUAAUGAUUGUUGUGUCAAAACUCAAAAGUUAUAAUGUCUGAAUUGAAGACUUGUUUUUUCAAAUUAUCAUGUACCAAACGUGCGAAUGUUUGAUUCUAAAUUUUUUAGUUCUACUGCACAGUUGGAACAAUGGCAUGCCGGAAGAGGACUGCUAUAGUAUUUUUUUGGAGAUGGCAUUUUAGCUCAUGUGGUAAAUGUAAUUGUUUUAGAGCUAUUUUUCUUCUGGUAUACGCCGACCUUAAACUGUGGUGGGAUCUCUGUCGUAGAUGACGUUUUCCGAGGCACAUAAAAGGACACGUCGUAUUUGAAGUUUAUCUAUUAGUUGGUCACCGAUUAUCUGAAUAAAUAAUAUUCAUUCGAUUGGACUAAAUCCUCACAUGGUAUUAGCAUCACACCUAGAUUUUGUAUCCAUUUUUUAUAUUGCCCAAUUCAUAUUAAGCAUAUGUAGGACAGGAAAGAACACCAUGGUAAUCUAUUUUAAUGUCGUGAUGACACAUACGAUGUUUUUGAAUCAAUCAACAGAGUGUAUAGAAAUAUUGUCACAUUAAAUGCAAUCAUUUGGUAUACUGCAGUAAUUGUUUCUUUGGUGAUCGAGAUAACAAGUUUGAUGAACAGUGAGUUGGAAUUGAAAAGCUGUUUUUUUUAUUUGUUGACAGUUAAAUUUUGGUAGAGGAUUAAGAAUAACCUUCAAUGAUGGUUUAUAGAUUGAUUACUAAAUUAGCAUUAGCAAAUGAUGGGUGUUCCUGAUAACAUGCAGUCAGUAUUGAAAACCUGUUUUUUUCUUUGUUGGUAUUUAAAUUUUGGUAGAGGAUUAAGAAUAACCUUCAAUGAUGGUUUAUAGAUUGAUUACUAAAUUAGCAUUAGCAAAUUAUGGGUUUUCCAGAUACGAUGGCUGUUGGAAUUGGACAAAUUUUAUCUUUAUUGGCAUUUAAAUCUUGCUAGAGAAUUAAAAAUAACCUCCAUGUUAGAUUUUGCAAUACUUAAUAUGUUAUAAACACUGCUAAUUAGGAUAUUAUUUUAUUCAUUCAUUUAUUUAGCUAAUAGUUUAAUACUUUGUUCAUUUAUUUAUGAUUAUAAAUUCUGAUUUCUGAGAUAGAGAAUUAUCAAUUUUUAUGUUAUGAAAUGAUAGUUUAAAUCAUUUGAUUAAUUUACAUUUUUUGAAAAAAUUCUAUUUCCAUUAGAUUAUAUAGAUAAAUUUAUUACAAGAAAUCUAAGAAAAUGAAUUGCAUCAGUUGUCAAAAAAGGACACGAUUUUGAAGCAAAAGAUUUAAUUUCUGAUCCUGUCUCAAUUUUUUUUGAAAAUUCUAAUCAAAGUUCCAAAAUAAUUUCCCGCCUCCUGCGAAGAAACUCCGCUAACCCCCUAACGCAUUCCUGGCCCGCCACUGUAGCUUAUUAUGAUGAUCGCCACCAUGUACAAGCUAGGUUCCUCCUUAGAUUAUGAUGAGGAUAACGAUUUCUAUUUUGAACACGGUUCACAUGAUAAACGCUUAUACCGUCUACCACAAACUGCAAGGAAAACAAUGAAAUGAAAAAUAAACAGAGAUUUGAAUUAAUUUUUACCUAUUAACGUUUUGAUUGAUUUCCAGUACAUCAUCCACCAAUCAUGAAAGGCGAGAAAGAUAGAAACCAAAAAAAUAAACUUACAUGACCGUCUAUCAUGUUUCCAAUUAGCGAUGGACGAGUUCGGUGCGGCAUGAUUUGGACAUGAUUCGGAACACGAUUCAAAUUGAUACCAUCCCUAAUAAACUGCAAGAAAAAUAAUGGAAUUGAGAAAUAAACAAAGAUUUGAUUUGAUUUGGACAUAUCGAUCUUUUGAUUGAUAUCUAGUACAUCAUCCAUCAAUCAUCAAAGGUAGAAAGAUAGAGACCAUAAAAAUAAACAUACAUGCCCGUCUAUCAUGUUUGGAAUUGGCGAUGGACGAGGUCGGGGCGGCAUGAUUUGGACAUAAUUCGGAUUAACAUGGUUCACAUUGAUAUCAUCCAUUAUAAACUGCAGAAAAAUAAUGUAGUUGAGAAAUAAAUAGUGAUUUGAUAUAAUUUGGACAUAAAAAUCUUUUGAUUUAUUUCUACUACAUCAAUCCAUCAAUCAUCAAAGGUAGAAAGAUAGAGACCAAAAAAACAAACUUACAUUCUCGUCUACCAUGUUUGGAACUGGCGAUGGACGAGGUCGGGACGGUAUGAUUUGGUCAUGAUUCGGAACACGAUUCACAUUGAUUCCAUCUGUUAUACACUGCUAGAAAAACAAUGGAGUUGAGAAAUAAACAAAGAUUUGAUUAAUUUUAAAAAAUUUACCUUUUGAUGGAUGGUUUCGAAUUCCGUAUGUGCCGCAGUGAGAUCGUCAAUAAGCUGAUUAACAUCCAGUUCUUGAGAGCCUUCGUUAGCCAUAGGAGGUGGGAUUGGAUUGAAAGCACCAAUGUAAAGAAAGAGAGAUCGAGAAUUCCGACGAUAGCCGGAGAGUCGCCAAACAACAAAUUAAAGAAAGAAAGUGAUUACAAU
This 3554-nucleotide long non-coding RNA is filed under the name Zostera marina. RNAcentral's name for it is "long non-coding RNA (ZMAR_LNC004932)". The record is from RNAcentral. Lineage: Eukaryota; Viridiplantae; Streptophyta; Magnoliopsida; Alismatales; Zosteraceae.